This 76-nucleotide transfer RNA is filed under the name Nevskiaceae bacterium. RNAcentral describes it as "tRNA-Glu". It matches the Rfam family "tRNA". From Rfam's summary of the family: Transfer RNA (tRNA) molecules are approximately 80 nucleotides in length. Lineage: Bacteria; Pseudomonadati; Pseudomonadota; Gammaproteobacteria; Nevskiales; Nevskiaceae. The record is from RNAcentral.
ACACCGUAAUGCAAAGCGCCGCGCGCGCCGGUUUUCAACCGGCUCCUAGCGGGUUCGAGUCCCGCACGGUGUACCA